This 253-nucleotide ribosomal RNA is filed under the name uncultured bacterium. RNAcentral's name for it is "partial 16S ribosomal RNA". It matches the Rfam family "Bacterial small subunit ribosomal RNA", at positions 524 to 776 of the family's 1533-position model. The record is from RNAcentral.
UACGUAGGGGGCUAGCGUUGCUCGGAAUCACUGGGCGUAAAGCGCACGUAGGCGGCUCGUUAAGUCAGGGGUGAAAUCCUGGAGCUCAACUCCAGAACUGCCUUUGAUACUGGCGAGCUUGAGUUCGGGAGAGGUGAGUGGAACUGCGAGUGUAGAGGUGAAAUUCGUAGAUAUUCGCAAGAACACCAGUGGCGAAGGCGGCUCACUGGCCCGGUACUGACGCUGAGGUGCGAAAGCGUGGGGAGCAAACAGG